Molecule: ribosomal RNA, 346 nt
Filed under: uncultured bacterium
Lineage: Bacteria
Description: partial 16S ribosomal RNA
Rfam family: Bacterial small subunit ribosomal RNA
Source: RNAcentral
CCUACGGGAGGCAGCAGUGAGGAAUAUUGGUCAAUGGGCGCGAGCCUGAACCAGCCAAGUAGCGUGAAGGAUGACGGCCCUACGGGUUGUAAACUUCUAUUAUAAAGGAAUAAAGUGAGGCACGUGUGCCGUUUUGUAUGUACUUUAUGAAUAAGGAUCGGCUAACUCCGUGCCAGCAGCCGCGGUAAUACGGAGGAUCCGAGCGUUAUCCGGAUUUAUUGGGUUUAAAGGGAGCGUAGAUGGGUUGUUAAGUCAGUGGUGAAAGUUUGCGGCUCAACCGUAAAAUUGCAUUUGAUACGGGCAGUCUUGAGUACAGUUGCGGUAGGCGGAAUUCGUUGUGUAGCGG